AUUUGGUAUUGGAAAGUAAACGCAGUCAUGACCAAUGGCUUAUCUAGUAUAUAUCUUUUGGUAUCUAUCGAUCCUAAUCAGCUGAUCCCGUUCUCAUUCCCUUAAUACCGGUGCAAAAGUUAAGUUAUUAUCCAAGUAACCUCGUGGCGACAAUUAUAAAGAAACACGUGUUAAGCUGGAAAUAACCUCGCCAAUUAAAAUUAUUUAAAUUGAUCCAUUUGUAUUCGGGUAUUUAACUUCCCCCUCAGUUGUGGGUUGUGGUUGAAGCCCCGAGUACCUACUUGGCUAGGGGUUUUUUCAGCAUCAAGCCUCCCUCCUUGGGCUCUAAUUAAUUCUUAUGAAAACCUUAUUGCCUGGAUGACCAACCAGAAAACCAGAAUAAACCAGAAACCAAUAAUUCUCGCAGUUUUGGAGCAAAAGCCUCUGCUACCCUACGCAUGCAUGGAAAAACUCAACAGGUUUAUAUUGAGAGACGAUUGCGUGUGAUUUUUCCGGCGAAAUUGUUGCCUCAUCUGAUCUGUCUAUUUUUUGAGAAUCCGCUGGACAUCCCCAGCAACAUUUAUUGAGAUUCAUCAUUGAUGUGUUUCCAAACGACUUGGAAUUUUCGUAUAAAACAACUCUUAACCAA
This is a long non-coding RNA of Drosophila eugracilis, 628 nucleotides long. RefSeq lists it as uncharacterized. The transcript has 2 exons. NCBI's taxonomy places the organism in Eukaryota, Metazoa, Arthropoda, Insecta, Diptera, Drosophilidae. The record is from RefSeq and is a predicted model, not a curated record.